GAUGAACGCUAGCGGCAGGCCUAACACAUGCAAGUCGGACGGUAACAGGGGUUGCUUGCAACCCGCUGACGAGUGGCGCACGGGUGCGUAACGCGUAUACAAUCUGCCUCUUACAGGGGGAUAGCCUUUGGAAACGAAGAAUAAUACCCCAUGGUAUGUUUAUAUCGCCUGGUAUUAACAUUAAAGAUUUAUCGGUAAGAGAUGAGUAUGCGUCCUAUUAGCUAGAUGGUACGGUAACGGCGUACCAUGGCGACGAUAGGUAGGGGCCCUGAGAGGGGGAUCCCCCACACUGGUACUGAGACACGGACCAGACUCCUACGGGAGGCAGCAGUGAGGAAUAUUGGACAAUGGGCGAGAGCCUGAUCCAGCCAUGCCGCGUGCAGGAAGACUGCCCUAUGGGUUGUAAAACUGCUUUUUUAUACGGGAAGAAAACCCACUUACGAGUAAGUGGCUGACGGUACCGUAAGAAUAAGCAUCGGCUAACUCCGUGCCAGCCGCCGCGGUAA
This 506-nucleotide ribosomal RNA is filed under the name uncultured bacterium. RNAcentral describes it as "bacterial SSU rRNA". It matches the Rfam family "Bacterial small subunit ribosomal RNA", at positions 28 to 523 of the family's 1533-position model. The record is from RNAcentral.